GUAGGAUACACCUACAGCCGAGCCAUUGUUUGCUGCAUUGAUUGUUUUGGCCACUGUAGUUUCUAUGACAGGGUAUUAACAGCUAUGCAAUACUUUUUUGUCAUGUACCAUGUAACAUCCCACUGGUCACUUGUAUUUUCUUGGAAUUCACUAACACACCCAAAGGCUCUUACAUAUACCAAGAAAAUACAACUGACUUGUGGGACAUUCCAUGGUAUACCAUUUGAAAGUGUUGCAAAAGUAGUGUUUUAAUGAGAUCUAAGAUGGGAGAGUCUUUUCCUGUGUGCAGUUGCAUUAGAAUAGUACCGGUACUUGUUGAUGUAUCAUGCAAUUUGGUAGUUAAAGGCAGACUUUAUCAGUUGUGGUAUAUUAACAUAUUGCAGCUACUUCUCUCAAAUGCUACAAUUGCCAUGGAGCAAAAAAGGAACCUGAUCAGGAUGCAGGUUGCAGUAAUACCACCAAGAACUGCAGUGGAUCAGAGAAUACAUGCAUGAUACAUCUCACCAGAAACAAGUUAUCUGAACCUCAAGUCUAUCACCUAACUUGCAAAGCUAAAGUUGACUGUGAACGUCUGGGUGUUGGCUGUAUCAAAAAUAAUGAUAAAACUAUCUGCACAAAAUGUUGUUCCACUGAUCUGUGCAAUACUCGUACAACCUAUAGUGCUACCUUAGCUCCACCAACCUCGUCGACAUCAAGGAGGACACAAAUUCUACCAAUCAUAUUUUUCCUGACCACACUGACAGUGUUCUGGUUUUGUGACUAAGAGUUCAGCGUAAUAAUGUUGACUUCUACAAUGUACCAAUCUUUGGGAAGUAAAAAAAAUAUAUAUAAUAAUAGCCUAGUCUGCACUGCCAAUGUAAACCAUACACAAAAAA
Long non-coding RNA from Orbicella faveolata, 875 nucleotides. The record is from RefSeq and is a predicted model, not a curated record. Lineage: Eukaryota; Metazoa; Cnidaria; Anthozoa; Scleractinia; Merulinidae.